This 299-nucleotide unclassified non-coding RNA is filed under the name plant metagenome. RNAcentral describes it as "partial contains 5.8S ribosomal RNA, internal transcribed spacer 2, and large subunit ribosomal RNA". The stretch from base 1 to 105 matches the Rfam family "5.8S ribosomal RNA", at positions 50 to 154 of the family's 154-position model. The record is from RNAcentral.
GAAAUGCGAUAAGUAAUGUGAAUUGCAGAAUUCAGUGAAUCAUCGAAUCUUUGAACGCACAUUGCGCUCGCCAGUAUUCUGGCGAGCAUGCCUGUUCGAGCGUCAUUUCAACCAUCAAGCUCUGCUUGCGUUGGGGAUCCGCGGCUGCCCGCGGUCCCUCAAAAACAGUGGCGGGCUCGCUAGUCACACCGAGCGUAGUAACUCUACAUCGCUAUGGUCGUGCGGCGGGUUCUUGCCGUAAAACCCCCAAUUUCUAAGGUUGACCUCGGAUCAGGUAGGAAUACCCGCUGAACAUAAGC